This 846-nucleotide long non-coding RNA is filed under the name Numida meleagris (helmeted guineafowl). RNAcentral describes it as "lncRNA (ENSNMEG00000012967.1)". Lineage: Eukaryota; Metazoa; Chordata; Aves; Galliformes; Numididae. The record is from RNAcentral.
GGCAGGGUUGGGGAGGACCAAGCAAGAUCUCAAAGCCCUACCAUCUCAGACAAUUGUCUUACACAUGUUCAGUCAAGGAAAGCCCAGGGAAUAUUCAUUCCAUGCGCUACAAACUCAUGUAUUCCCCAGCAACCUGUAGCAACUGAAGAGCUUUCCUGCAAAAGAAGCAACACAAGAGGAUCAGCUUCUGCUCAGCACCUCUCCUCUCUUCCCUAUCUCCACUUUCCUUCUGCCUUCGUUACACUGAGUCCCUACAACCAACACCUGCUGGGAAGCAACGGACAGUACAGGAGGGUUCCUUUGGUGUGUCCUCCUGUGUCUCCUGCCACCAGCACCUGCCACCAUUUCUUCAACGUGUCUGAGCAGAGAUGCGUGUGCUCCCCUCGCUGGUUAAAAUUUUGGGGUAUGGGUUACUUUCAUCUGUUUCAGAGCUGUCUCAACCUGGCUGUGACCAGCCCAGUUCAUGUGGCAGUUCAUGGCCUCCUGCCACACAGGUCACCCCUGCAGUCCCCUCUGCCAGGCCAGUUAUGCCCAGUACAGGCAUUCUUGUGGGGCAUGAAGAGUGUCCUAGCUUACCCUCCAGAUCCCUGUAAAAUACAGAAAGCUUUGUAUACUCUCUUAUCUAGAAAGAAAUAUUCAAUGCAACACUAUUCUUUUUUUUUUUUUCCUAUGAGAUUUCUCCAGCAUGUGUAUUUUCUUUCAGAUUACUUAUUUAUUUUAAGGAACAAAAGUGUUUGCUGACAGAGGCAUAAGACCUUUUAUGGGCUAAAAUAACAGCAAUCUAUCUCCUGCUGCAGCUCUCUGGCAGCUACUAAAUCAAUGACAAUAAAACAUCAAUGGUUAACA